CCUACGGGAGGCAGCAGUGGGGAAUCUUGCGCAAUGGGCGAAAGCCUGACGCAGCAACGCCGUGUGCGGGAAGAAGGCUCUCGGGUUGUAAACCGCUUUCAGCAGGAACGAAAAUGACGGUACUUGCAGAAGAAGGUGCGGCCAACUACGUGCCAGCAGCCGCGGUGACACGUAGGCACCAAGCGUUGUCCGGAUUUAUUGGGCGUAAAGAGCUCGUAGGCGGUUCGGUAAGUCAGGUGUGAAAACUUUGGGCUCAACCCAAAGCCUGCAUCUGAUACUGCUGUGACUAGAGUUCGGUAGGGGAGCGGGGAAUUCCUAGUGUAGCGGUGAAAUGCGCAGAUAUUAGGAGGAACACCGGUGGCGAAGGCGCCGCUCUGGGCCGAAACUGACGCUGAGGAGCGAAAGCGUGGGUAGCAAACAGGAUUAGAUACCCUGGUAGUCCACGCCGUAAACGUUGGGCACUAGGUGUGGGUCUCAACCAACGAGANCGCGCCGUCGCUACGCAUAAGUAGCCCGCCGUGGGAGGUACGGCCGCGAACGGUUAAAACCGUACAAAUAGAAUUAGACGG
RNAcentral lists this ribosomal RNA (569 nucleotides) under uncultured bacterium. RNAcentral's name for it is "bacterial SSU rRNA". It matches the Rfam family "Bacterial small subunit ribosomal RNA", at positions 338 to 916 of the family's 1533-position model. The record is from RNAcentral.